This 371-nucleotide ribosomal RNA is filed under the name uncultured organism. RNAcentral's name for it is "bacterial SSU rRNA". It matches the Rfam family "Bacterial small subunit ribosomal RNA", at positions 526 to 896 of the family's 1533-position model. The record is from RNAcentral.
CGAAGGUGGCGACCGUUGUUCGGAAUCACUGGGCAUAAAGAGCUCGUAGGCGGUGAGAAAGGUAGGGUGUGAAAUCCCUCGGCCCAACCGAGGAACUGCGCUCUAAACUGUCUUGCUUGAGGACCGAAGGGGACCACGGAAUUCCUGGUGGAGCGGUGAAAUGCGUUGAUAUCAGGAGGAACACCGGCGGCGAAGGCGGUGGUCUGGUCGGUUUCUGACGCUGAGGAGCGAAAGCUAGGGGAGCAAACGGGAUUAGAUACCCCGGUAGUCCUAGCCGUAAACGAUGGGCACUAGGUAGGGGGGUACCCAAUGCCUCCCUGCUGGAGUUAAUAUAUUAAGUGCCCCGCCUGGGGAGUAUAGUCGCAAGGCUG